Molecule: small RNA, 73 nt
Filed under: Pedobacter sp. Leaf194
Lineage: Bacteria; Pseudomonadati; Bacteroidota; Sphingobacteriia; Sphingobacteriales; Sphingobacteriaceae
Description: Flavo-1 RNA
Rfam family: Flavo-1 RNA
Source: Rfam by way of RNAcentral
AAUUAGCCCCGAUUGCAGCGGCACGAAUCCCGAUUUUUCGUCGGGAGAAGUACAGCGAAAAGCGGGAACAAAG